GACGAACGCUGGCGGCGUGCUUAACACAUGCAAGUCGAACGGAAAGGCCCUGCUUUUGUGGGGUGCUCGAGUGGCGAACGGGUGAGUAACACGUGAGUAACCUGCCCUUGACUUUGGGAUAACUUCAGGAAACUGGGGCUAAUACCGGAUAGGAGCUCCUGCUGCAUGGUGGGGGUUGGAAAGUUUCGGCGGUUGGGGAUGGACUCGCGGCUUAUCAGCGUGUUGGUGGGGUAGUGGCUUACCAAGGCUUUGACGGGUAGCCGGCCUGAGAGGGUGACCGGCCUCAUUGGGACUGAGAUACGGCCCAGACUCCUACGGGAGGCAGCAGUGGGGAAUAUUGCACAAUGGGCGGAAGCCUGAUGCAGCAACGCCGCGUGCGGGAUGACGGCCUUCGGGUUGUAAACCGCUUUCGCCUGUGACGAAGCGUGAGUGACGGUAAUGGGUAAAGAAGCACCGGCUAACUACGUG
RNAcentral lists this ribosomal RNA (468 nucleotides) under uncultured bacterium. RNAcentral describes it as "partial 16S ribosomal RNA". It matches the Rfam family "Bacterial small subunit ribosomal RNA", at positions 28 to 507 of the family's 1533-position model. The record is from RNAcentral.